GUAAACCACUUUCAGGGAUGACGAAAAUGACGGUAAUCCCAGAAGAAGGUCCGGCCAACUACGUGCCAGCAGCCGCGGUAACACGUAGGGACCAAGCGUUGUCCGGAUUUAUUGGGCGUAAAGAGCUCGUAGGCGGUUUUGUAAGUCGGAUGUGAAAACUCAGGGCUCAACCCUGAGACGCCAUCUGAUACUGCAAUGACUAGAGUCCGGUAGGGGAACAUGGAAUUCCUGGUGUAGCGGUGGAAUGCGCAGAUAUCAGGAGGAACACCAAUGGCGAAGGCAGUGUUCUGGGCCGGUACUGACGCUGAGGAGCGAAAGCAUGGGGAGCAAACAGGAUUAGAUACCCUGGUAGUCCAUGCCGUAAACGUUGGGCACUAGGUGUGGGACCUUCUAACGGGUUCCGUGCCGUAGCUAACGCAUUAAGUGCCCCGCCUGGGGAGUACGGCCGCAAGGCUAAAACUCAAAUGAAUUG
RNAcentral lists this ribosomal RNA (472 nucleotides) under uncultured Actinomycetes bacterium. Its description in RNAcentral is "bacterial SSU rRNA". It matches the Rfam family "Bacterial small subunit ribosomal RNA", at positions 425 to 912 of the family's 1533-position model. Lineage: Bacteria; Bacillati; Actinomycetota; Actinomycetes. The record is from RNAcentral.